AGAGUUUGAUCAUGGCUCAGAAUCAACGCUGGCGGCGUGCCUAACACAUGCAAGUCGAACGGGAAAGCACUUUUCGGAGUGCAAGUAGAGUGGCGAACGGGUGAGUAACGCGUGGGUGAUCUACCCUUUGGUGGGGGAUAACUUCGCGAAAGCGGAGCUAAUACCGCAUGAGCCUGGAGUUGUAAGGGACUUCAGGGAAAGCUUUCGGGUGCCGAAGGAGGAGCCCGCGUCCGAUUAGCUAGUUGGUGAGGUAAGGGCUCACCAAGGCGACGAUCGGUAGCCGGUCUGAGAGGACGGACGGUCACACUGGGACUGAGACACGGCCCAGACUCCUACGGGAGGCAGCAGUGGGGAAUUUUGGGCAAUGGGCGCAAGCCUGACCCAGCAACGCCGCGUGGAGGACGAAGGUUUUCGGAUCGUAAACUCCUGUCUAGAGGGACGAAGCAAGUGACGGUACCUCUGGAGGAAGCCCCGGCUAACUCCGUGCCAGCAGCCGCGGUAAUACGGGGGGGGCUAGCGUUGUUCGGAAUUACUGGGCGUAAAGGGCGCGUAGGCGGUAUUGGAAGUCAUGGGUGAAAGUCCUCGGCUCAACUGAGGGAUUGCCUGUGAAACCACGGUACUGGAGUGCUGGAGAGGGAAGUGGAAUUCCCAGUGUAGCGGUGAAAUGCGUAGAUAUUGGGAGGAACAUCUGUGGCGAAGGCGGCUUCCUGGACAGACACUGACGCUGAGGCGCGAAAGCCAGGGGAGCGAACGGGAUUAGAUACCCCGGUAGUCCUGGCUGUAAACGAUGAACACUUGGUGUAGGGGGUGAUGAAAGUCCCUCUGUGCCGUAUAGAACUCGAUAAGUGUUCCGCCUGGGGAGUACGGCCGCCAAGGCUGGAAACUCAAAUGAAUUGACGG
This 900-nucleotide ribosomal RNA is filed under the name uncultured bacterium. RNAcentral's name for it is "bacterial SSU rRNA". It matches the Rfam family "Bacterial small subunit ribosomal RNA", at positions 8 to 916 of the family's 1533-position model. The record is from RNAcentral.